GACAGAGGUGGCAAGCGUUGUUCGGAUUUACUGGGCGUAAAGAGUGCGUAGGUGGUGAGGUAAGACCUGUGGGAAAGACCUGGGCUUAACCCAGGAAGGUCGCAAGUGACUGCCUCGCUUGAGGACGGGAGAGGAGAGCGGAAUUCCCGGUGUAGCGGUGAAAUGCGUAGAGAUCGGGAAGAAGGCCGGUGGCGAAGGCGGCUCUCUGGAACGUUCCUGACACUGAGGCACGAAAGCGUGGGGAGCAAACAGG
RNAcentral lists this ribosomal RNA (253 nucleotides) under uncultured bacterium. RNAcentral describes it as "partial 16S ribosomal RNA". It matches the Rfam family "Bacterial small subunit ribosomal RNA", at positions 524 to 776 of the family's 1533-position model. RNAcentral also lists the same sequence under 1 other name. The record is from RNAcentral.